Molecule: long non-coding RNA, 1793 nt
Filed under: Homo sapiens (human)
Lineage: Eukaryota; Metazoa; Chordata; Mammalia; Primates; Hominidae
Description: HSALNT0017989
Source: RNAcentral
CUCCAGACCAAUUGAACCAGAAUCUCUGAGGCGGGGCCUGGGUGUUGGUAAUUUUCCUUUGAAACACUCCCCAGGUGAUUCUAAUGGAAUCUAGGAGUGAGAAUCACUGGGGGAAGGCAUUUGUAGAUGGGAAGGCUGGUGGCAUCUGCUAGAAGACUUGAUGUGUACUUGGCCAGAGAUAAACCACAGGUCUGGCCUGAAUGGGUGUGGAAAUGUGUCAGUCAUGUUUUCAGAUUUCCAAGGUCAUUUUCCAAGAGACCUCUGUGAGCUUGGACUGGAUAGCGCAGCACAGGGCCAGCGAUGGCAGCUGGAAGGGUGGCUGCCUAGGAAGGAGCUGACUCUUCUGUCUCCUCUACCCCUUUAAGGGCCCCAUGAUUAUGUUGUGUGUAAUUUCAUCUGCAAAGCCACGUAAGCAUAUUGUGCCAAGGUUCUAGCAAAUCCACCUGGCUAAGGGAUGCAUCUUCCUUUACUACUCAUUGUCAAUUCUCUCCAGAAAGUCUUUCUGACCCCAGUCCUUGCCCACCAGGCUGGAUUCAGUGCCAGUCCUCUGUGUUACAGCAUCAUAGAACUUCCCUUGUUCAGCUGUCCAUUACCCUAUAACUCUUUCACCAGAUUGUGCUUUUUGAGUACAGAAACUGACAUUUCUGUAUCAUUUAGUAGAGUGUCUGGUACAUAGUACAUGCUCAAGAAAUGCUUAUUGAAUAAAUGAAUGAUGGGAAAAUUUAUUAUAUACUUAAAAAUUUUUGAUCAAAUAAUUACUGGUUGGAAAGUAUCCCUUAAACAACACAAAUAUUGAAAUAUUCAGUGAGAGGAAAAUCUAUGCAUAUCAAUACUGUGCUUCCUGAGAAUUAUCUUUACACAGAAGACUUCUUGAAAAAUAAAUAAACAUUGUGUUUGUGAAUUGUCCAGGCCUGGAUCUUGAGGAGGAAGGCACUUCUGAAAUAGCUGCAACUCCCGGCACAUUGUAGGGUUGAACUUCCCUGUUUGCAUUACAUAGGACUGGUCAUCUGACUGGCUGUGGCCAGUGAAAAUGUAGAUGAAAAUAGCCUGUAUCACCUCUGGACGAGUCAUUAGGAGUCAGUGUAUGAUUUGAUACAUUUCCUUCUCUCUGCCAUGGUGAUUGGUGAUGGAGGCUCUAUUAGUUUUUGUUCCUGAGUAAAGUAAUGUGGGUAUGAGUCCCUAGCUGACUUCCAAUACGAGUGAGAAAUAAACCUUAAUUGUUUUAAGCCUCCAAGCUUUGGAGUUUGUUGUACAGCCCACCAUGACAAAUAUACUUUUAGUCCUUUAUUUACAUGCUUUAAAAUACUGCUUGCAUUUUCUGAUUACCAUAUGUUCAUUGUGGAGAAUUUCAAAAAAUAUAAAAAAAAACCUUUGAAAUCACUUACAUAGAAAUAGUCUCUGUUAAUAUUUUGAUGUAUUGUCUUCCUCUCCCAAUUUAAAAAAUCAGGAUCCUAAUAUAUACGAUAUUGAUUUUUUCACUUCAUAUAUACUCUUAAAAUACAUGAAUUUGCUGCAUAUUAUUAAUUGAUGAGGAAGUGUUAUAAUCUAUUUUUAUAUUUAUGUUUUAUAUUUAUACUAUACAAUUCAUAAGAGUCACAUUUUAUUUUUGUACUUUUUCUUGUUGUAAAUAACAUUCCAAUGAAACUUUUGUGAUUAAGUCUUUGCUCAAAUUGCUGCUGCUGUCCUUGGAGUAGAUCCCUAGAAGGUGAACGACUAGGUCAAGGAGUAUGCAUACUUUUAAGAUUUUUGCUACCUAUUGCCAGGAGAAAGGUUAUACCAAUUAACACGUCAGC